CUGGAGGUAUCAGAAGUGCGAAUGCUGACAUAAGUAACGAUAAAGCGGGUGAAAAGCCCGCUCGCCGGAAGACCAAGGGUUCCUGUCCAACGUUAAUCGGGGCAGGGUGAGUCGACCCCUAAGGCGAGGCCGAAAGGCGUAGUCGAUGGGAAACGGGUUAAUAUUCCCGUACUUGGUGUUACUGCGAAGGGGGGACGGAGAAGGCUAUGUUGGCCGGGCGACGGUUGUCCCGGUUUAAGCGUGUAGGUGUGUGUUCCAGGUAAAUCCGGUUCACUUUAACACUGAGGCGUGACGACGAGGCACUACGGUGCUGAAGCAACAAAUGCCCUGCUUCCAGGAAAAGCCUCUAAGCAUCAGGUAACAUCAAAUCGUACCCCAAACCGA
Molecule: ribosomal RNA, 384 nt
Filed under: Salmonella enterica
Lineage: Bacteria; Pseudomonadati; Pseudomonadota; Gammaproteobacteria; Enterobacterales; Enterobacteriaceae
Also listed under: 1 other name
Description: partial 23S ribosomal RNA
Rfam family: Bacterial large subunit ribosomal RNA
Source: RNAcentral